GAUGAAGAACGUAGCGAAAUGCGAUAAGUAGUGUGAAUUGCAGAAUUCAGUGAAUCAUCGAAUCUUUGAACGCACAUUGCGCCCCUCGGUAUUCCGUGGGGCAUGCCUGUUCGAGCGUCAUUUAACCCCUCAAGCCUAGCUUGGUAUUGGGUGCUUGUCCCGCCUCUCGCGCGGCGACUCACCUCAAAGUCAUUGGCAGCCCGCAUCUCGCCGGCCGUGAGCGCAGCACAGACGCGCUCUUGGCAACGACGGAUCGGCUCUCCAAAAGCUUAUUUCAACCACUGACCUCGGAUCAGGUAGGGAUACCCGCUGAACUUAAGCAUACAAUAAGCGGAGGA
This 338-nucleotide unclassified non-coding RNA is filed under the name soil metagenome. Its description in RNAcentral is "partial contains 5.8S ribosomal RNA, internal transcribed spacer 2, and large subunit ribosomal RNA". The stretch from base 1 to 120 matches the Rfam family "5.8S ribosomal RNA", at positions 35 to 154 of the family's 154-position model. The record is from RNAcentral.